CCUACGGGAGGCAGCAGUAGGGAAUCUUCCACAAUGAGCGAAAGCCUGAUGGAGCAACGCCGCGUGCGUGAAGAAGGUCUUCGGAUCGUAAAACGCUGUUGUUAGAGAAGAAAAUGCGUGAGAGUAACUGUUUACGUUUCGACGGUAUCUAACCAGAAAGCGACGGCUAACUACGUGCCAGCAGCCGCGGUAAUACGUAGGUGGCAAGCGUUAUCCGGAUUUAUUGGGCGUAAAGGGAACGGAGGCGGGUUUUUAAGUCUGGUGUUAAAUCCCUCGGCUUAACCGGAGUAGCGCUUUGGAAACUAGGAGACUAGAGUUCAGAAGAGGUGAGUGGAACUCCAUGUGUAGCGGUGAAAUGCGUAGAUAUAUGGAAGAACACCAGAGGCGAAAGCGGCUCUCUGGU
This 403-nucleotide ribosomal RNA is filed under the name uncultured bacterium. Its description in RNAcentral is "partial 16S ribosomal RNA". It matches the Rfam family "Bacterial small subunit ribosomal RNA", at positions 338 to 733 of the family's 1533-position model. The record is from RNAcentral.